AAACAAAUAAACAAAACAUAGUAUUUUUGCAACAUAAAGUGAUCAAUACAUUUCUUUUUGUUGCAAGCUUAGGAGAAAAAAUAUGGCUAAAACUAUUAAGUUUGUUUAUUUAAUGAUCCUCUUUAUUUGCUUUUUUCUUGUUGUAAUUGAUGUUAAUGCACAACGGAGGCCAAGGUGCAAGGAGAAUUCUGAUUGUUCUGAGUUUCCUUGUGUACUUCCUAUGACUCCAAAAUGUGUCGCAUUUAAAUGUAGAUGUCGUCUUGAUUAAAAGUAAACUCGAUUAUAAAAGAUUGAUCGAUAUUGUAAUGUUAAAAGAGAGUUAAAAUUUCAUAUCCGAUUUUUUACUAAAUAAAAAGGGUUUU
Trifolium pratense (red clover) is the source of this 362-nucleotide long non-coding RNA. RefSeq lists it as uncharacterized. The record is from RefSeq and is a predicted model, not a curated record. Lineage: Eukaryota; Viridiplantae; Streptophyta; Magnoliopsida; Fabales; Fabaceae. The transcript is spliced from 2 exons.